This is a ribosomal RNA of Cricetulus griseus (Chinese hamster), 109 nucleotides long. The record is from Ensembl. Lineage: Eukaryota; Metazoa; Chordata; Mammalia; Rodentia; Cricetidae.
GUCUGUGGCCAUACCACCUGGACAGUCCUGAUCUCAUCUGGUCUCAGAAGCUAAGGAGAGUUGGGUCUGGUUAGUACUUGGAUGGGAGAAUUGCAGACAGGGACUGUCC